UGGCGGACGGGUGAGUAAUGUCUGGGAAACUGCCUGAUGGAGGGGGAUAACUGCUGGAAACGGUAGCUAAUACCGCAUAACGUCGCAAGACCAAAGAGGGGGACCUUCGGGCCUCUUGCCAUCGGAUGUGCCCAGAUGGGAUUAGCUAGUAGGUGGGGUAACGGCUCACCUAGGCGACGAUCCCUAGCUGGUCUGAGAGGAUGACCAGCCACACUGGAACUGAGACACGGUCCAGACUCCUACGGGAGGCAGCAUG
This 256-nucleotide ribosomal RNA is filed under the name uncultured bacterium. RNAcentral describes it as "partial 16S ribosomal RNA". It matches the Rfam family "Bacterial small subunit ribosomal RNA", at positions 96 to 353 of the family's 1533-position model. The record is from RNAcentral.